AACAUUUUCAUCAAUCAAGUAUAACAACCUGGGAACUCCCUGGGUGGACUAUUCUAAGGUGACCCUUGAGCCUGUCUCAUUCACUUGUGUUCCUCUACUCGGGGAGGAGGUUGGGAGAGAAGACGGUGGAGAAAAGACAGCCCCACAGCCAGGCCUCUUCUCCAUAGAUUUUAAAAAUAUCCUCUAAAGCUCCUCCUUUAAGAAUUGGCAGAGACCUGGAAGAUGAGGGGCAAGGAGAAAAUAUAUAAAGACACAGAAAAGAAUGGAUUUGCAAAGCAAAACGGAGCCCAUUCUGAGAACCCUAAGGAAGAACAGCUCGAGGGGGUGAAGACAAGAGGAGGAAAGGUCCUGUUUUGAACCUUGCCCUACGGCUGUCGCAGCUGUCCAGAAGGCCCCGCAGUGUCCCCGUGGUGGUAAAAACAAUCGAACGUGGCUCCAAAUUUGCCUGUUUAAGAAGGACAGAAGUCGCCGUGUAUUUAUCAGCCAGGGCAAGAAAGCAUCCGGGUAAACGUAGCUCAUCUAGGGAUGAAUUAAAUGUAAAUGACAUUACCUGGGACUAGGACAUGGUGGAAACUGUAACCUCGUGACAAGGAAUCCCUUCAUGGCAUUUUAAUCAUGCAUUUCCUCUUGGAGCCUGAUUCUGGAAGGAGGUGAUGCUCCUCGUUGACAAAUCCUCCAGACCAUCGCUCUCUCUCGGAGACAAAGCCUUAUCUCAGCCCGUCCUCUUUAAAGAAACAAAGAAGAGAAUUAUGUGAUGGUUUCCACUGUCGUACCGUCUGUGGCUUUGUUUGAGCGAGAGCUUCACAUCCAAAGCUAAACCUUGACUUAACACACAAACU
This is a non-coding RNA of Microcebus murinus (gray mouse lemur), 839 nucleotides long. The record is from RefSeq and is a predicted model, not a curated record. Lineage: Eukaryota; Metazoa; Chordata; Mammalia; Primates; Cheirogaleidae.